UACGUAGGGGGCUAGCGUUGUCCGGAAUCAUUGGGCGUAAAGAGCGUGUAGGCGGCCCGGUAAGUCCGCUGUGAAAGUCGGGGGCUCAACCCUCGAAUGCCGGUGGAUACUGUCGGGCUCGAGUGCGGAAGAGGCGAGUGGAAUUCCCGGUGUAGCGGUGAAAUGCGCAGAUAUCAGGAGGAACACCAAUGGCGAAGGCAGCUCGCUGGGACGGUACUGACGCUGAGACGCGAAAGCGUGGGGAGCAAACAGG
RNAcentral lists this ribosomal RNA (253 nucleotides) under uncultured bacterium. RNAcentral describes it as "partial 16S ribosomal RNA". It matches the Rfam family "Bacterial small subunit ribosomal RNA", at positions 524 to 776 of the family's 1533-position model. The record is from RNAcentral.